Sturnus vulgaris (Common starling) is the source of this 9012-nucleotide non-coding RNA. The record is from RefSeq and is a predicted model, not a curated record. NCBI's taxonomy places the organism in Eukaryota, Metazoa, Chordata, Aves, Passeriformes, Sturnidae.
GGCUGGGUCAGAGGCGGACAGACCUCCUCGUGGGUAGGGCUUGUCUGCCCCGGGGUCUGGAGUGCUCGUCUGGUGUGAACGAGAUGCGGUGCAGCGCUUUUAUGUCUCGUGUCUGGACUGUCUUAUAGUACCAGGAAUUCCUGAGAAAUCAGCUAAACCUGUACAGAGAUGAGGUGUGAAGUGAGCAUCGCUGGGAAAGGAGCCGCACGUAGGAAAGACAGUACAAGGAGCCAGUGUUGGGACCCUUCAUCCUGACGGUCUGCAGUGGGGAAGGUACCGGUGCAGGUGUGAGGCAGCCAGCCUUGGUUGUGACCUGAGCAGGCUUGUCACUCGGAAGGGGUGUUUGUCACUUGUCACUGUGACACACUGGACAGCCAUGCAUUUACAGUCAGUACUGCUUUAUGCUGAAACAUGAAUGGAUGGCAAAAGCGUUUCCCCAGGCCACUUGGUUUGUAUUCGUGUAUGUUCAUUGCAGUCUCCAAUUUUUUUGGCUAUAUUACUCAUAGGGAUAAUGAUGCUCUCAGAGUCCUGGUGCUUUGAGCAGAAGGUGCAGGAGAAAGAUGGCAUGGAAAGAGAAAGAAAUCACAGUUUCCCUUGGAGCAACUUCUGCAUGAUGAAAAAGAUAUGAUGGUGCAAGAGCACAGUCAGAGCUUUCCCAAGGACUCCUUUGGUGCUGUGUGAAAAGUCUUCCAGGUUGUUGGCAGAAGUACGUUUCUCUUCAUCAAAGAUAGUAAGUUAGAGGCCUGUAGCUACAACACCAUGAUUCUUUCAGUACUGUUUUCUAUAUUACCUUGUCUGUUUUCAAAGCAGCUCUUCCUUCUUAGCUUGACUUUUGACAGGAAUUCCAGUUUAUCAUUGGAACAUGUGGAGAGCCAGAGCUAGGAAAGGCCUUUUUUUGGGUCCUGUAGUUCUCCAUAAUUUUGAGAUCUGCUGCCAGGAUUCCUGGUCCAUCUAUUUUUAGAUGAAUUUUAAAGGAAGCCACCAUACUACCUGUUCUUUACCCCUCUUUGAAGAGACCUCACCAAGAAAUGGGUGACUUGGAUUUUGUUUCCUGUGUGAGAAAGGCAGAUCUGCAUCUCCCUGUCCCUGAAGAAACAGUGCAAUAUGUUUUUAAACUUAGUUACCAUGAGUAAAUUGUACAAAUCUGCUGAAGUGGAAGCUAGAGCUCAGGUUUUGUCUUUCCCAGGCAAGUAUUUUAACUACUGUGCUUAAGAGUGUUGGUCUGUUUCAUUUAACUGAUGCUCUUUCAAGGUGGAAGCUAAAGGCUUGGAUCUCUUCAGAGUGAAGGUGGUGUGGAACAGAACUCCCCUUAUUUGAGCUGUGCCCUUUCUGCUAUAGCAAAAAGCGAGCUGGCACAGUUGUAUUGUAGAAGGAACCUGCUUUUGUUUGUGUGUGGCCACUGUACUCUGAGAGUGUUUGCUGAAGUAAUGCCCUGCAGGGCCUGGCACAUAAGGAUAGGUGAAAGAUAAGUAAUGAGCUGGAUAUGGACCAUGACAAUUUUGGGCAGUUGUGGAGCAGGGCUUUAUUGUUAGAGUACUCUUGGGCCAAGUGAACAGUGCUUGAACUGUAGCAGCUCUUACUGAGCUGAGAUGAUGCCACAGCAAGCAUGCUUAAUCAUUGUGCUGAAAUUAGACAACUCACUAUUUUUCAGCACUUUUGUGUAACCAUGAACAUGUGGACUGUUCAUCUUUUCCACUGACAAAAGCUGAGGUUUUCUUUCUAGGAUGGAGAAGGAGUUGAGCUCAGAUAGAGUUAUACUUGAUAAUGGUGCAAUCGACUGAUGAUGCAGCUUUUAACUGAAACAUAACAUAGAGAUAAAGCACAACUGAAACUUCUCAUUAAGGGACUUUUAAUGGGAUUCAUGAGACUUUACAGCAUGCCAGAGAAAGAUGGGCUGUCUGCCCAAGUUCUGUGUAGUGAGAAACUGGAGGCACAUGCCAUUUGCCAGCUUAACUGCACCAGUUAAUGAAGGCAGUUCUGGUGACUUGCUUCUCUUCAUUUAGAGGACAGGUCUGCAAGGGUGAAUAUGUUACUGAUAGGAAGGUGAGUUUGACCUUUGGCCAAAUAACAGGAGUAGUUUGCUGUAUGCACAGUGAAGCCACAAAGGAAAGCAAAUUUCAUAACUGUAUGAUUAGGACUUAAAUGGCAUUCUGAAUCCACGGGAUGAACCUUAGUUUCUAUUAAAUCAAAGCAUAUCAACCUCUAUAAAUUCUGCAUUUGCCCUUAGAGUGACUGUGAAAUCAGUAUCAUUCUACCACUUGCAUUGCUGAUAAGAGACUCCAAGCAUGUAGACAGUGGUGUUAAAUAUUCCUUUUGCAGUAUUGAGAUUUCUCUUAUCUUUCUCACACCACAGCAGUGGGAUGAACCACAUUUCACUGUUUUGCCAAAGUGACUUAUAGAGUGAGGCAGUUACUGUGGUUAGAUGGGUGAAACAUUUCUGGAGUGUCACAUAGGUAUUGGUCUGCUAAGAGACUGCUUGUGAGAAAUGCAUAGCACUUUUUUCUUCAUUUAAAGAUAAAUAUUUUAAAUUAAACAGGCCUGGUGCAUGUGUUUAAAUAAAAAUACUUUUUUUAGAAAAACCAAACAACUUGAAUGUGACUCUUACUGUAAGAGUGCUUUCACAAUGCAAAAUAAAUGUGCUGGACUUUUCAAGCCUUGGUGAGUUUAAAAAUUAUUCUGUAAAAAUGGGAAUUUUGAAUCAAAUGCUAGUAUUACUAACAAUGUAAUUCUAGAUAUGCAAACAUGUCUUGUCACUUAAUCUUGGAAGCUACUAAACCAGCACAUUUUUAAAGCAUUGUUUUCUCGACCCUGUGACUAAAUAUCUGUUAAAAUUGCAUUUAAAUAUCUAUUCAGAAUGCCUGAUUGCACUGCAAUCAGUCUGAUUGUCUUUCUUAUACUGAUACUUGUAGAAAUAUUUAGACAUUUAGCUUCUUGGAGAAGUACCAAGAAAUAAUCUGUCUGAGCCUAACUAUGAGGUUAUAUGUUGAUGUUUCUACUUUUCCCACUUGGCCCCUGGAUUAUGAGCAGUAAAUAAUACCCAUCUGCAUGUGUGCUUUUCUAGGAGAGACAGCAAGGUAGACCAAGAUGGUUCAGCAGGCCUUUCAAAGCUCAGUUUUGUAUGAAGCAAUGCAUCAGAGCUCAAGUGUCAGCACAUGCCCUGAGGCUAUUGCAAGCUAUAGAUGAAGGGAGCUGUUGUGUCUCUGCCUUGUGAGAGCUCUUACAGCAGCAAUAUUGCACCAGCCUCUGCUCCUUUGCCUGUAGUUCUGUCAAAUACAGCUUCCAUUUGGCAAAACUUAAGGCAGCAACCUCAGAACUUUCAACCAAGCCUGGAGAGAGCAUAAAGCUUGGGGUCUGCCUCUGUCUUUUGUAUCAGACGUUCAGUUGCUGACAGCCUUUGCUAUUCCUCUAACACACCAAACCCCUAUACAUGUGUACUGUAAGUUUCAUGGCAGUUACAGCUCAUAGUUUGAGAAAAGUUAGCUGUAUCAAGCGGGGGGGAGAUACUGAGAAAGCAAGGUUUGCUGUUGUAAAUUGAGGUCAAGUUGUUUGGUUUUUAAAAAAUUUGGCUGUUGAGAUGAAACUGAGCAAGACAGACUCAGUGGGGCAAAGUACAGUAAUAACAGAACAUGAGUCAUUGCUUAGUAUUAAAAAAAAAACCUCCUGAAAUGAAUAACUAGUAUAGAGUAAUAUAGUAUACAACUCUUUGAUACUCUGUGGCUAAAAUAAAAUAAAUGUUACUUGGAGGAGAGUUGUAGAGGAACGAGUUAAACAAUGUUUUUCAAAGCUUCUUUCAGUAUUGUGAUCAAAUGAUGAGGUGGGAAUCUGUGUCACUGGAGAACAUGUGUAUACCUGAAAAACAGAUCUAGAGAAACAUUAUAGCCUGUUGUACCAGAGGCAGGGUGUUGGUUUGCAAGGAGAAGGAUAAAAUCAAAGGGAUUGGUUUUUCACAUUGAAAUAGGAGGAUAAUCUUUGCUGAAAUUGACUAAAGGUAAAUAUUAGCUUUACUGCCUUCUCAUUAAAACAAAUAGUCUUGGUUUCUGAGUAAAGCUAAAUAUUAGUAUUGCUGCCUGUUCAUUUAAACAAAUAUUGUCUUGGUUGAAGCCAAGUACUCUAUUUCAGUUUCUGUCUCUACGUAGCUAAGAGUUGUCUUGAGUGAGGAUUCCACAUCCGUGGAACAUCCUUGUGUGAGGAUGCAGAGAUGUAGGAACACUGAAUUUGGCCACAAACUUAAAUGUGAGAAACUUCUUUUAAACUUUGGAGGGUAUUUAUGUUGUUUUGGGGUGUUUUUUAUUGGAUUAUUUUGUUUUAAAUAAUGAGGGUGUCAAGCACUGGAAGAAACUGCCUGUAGAAGUUGAGUGUCUGUCCCUAGAGGUACCCAAACCAAACUGGACAUGGCUCUAAGCAACCUGCACUAGUCCACCCUGCCUUCAGCAGAGAUCUGGAACAGCACAGAAGUACCUUUCAAUGUAAGGUUAUAUGACAUUUUGACCACUCCACAGGAUUGGAAGUGGAACACCUGCAGUUUGUGACAAGAUGGCAUAAGGGGCUUGUUGAAAAUAAUUUGCAGCAAAUGAAUAGUGGCUCUGGAAUGAAACUUAAGCUUUCCUAAAAUAUAAUCCAGGUAUUUUCCCUUUACAGGCUAUAAAUGAGAAGUGCUGCUAUUGAUUGUCAUCCAAAACUCUUGAGAAAAAGCUUUGCUCAGUGUUUGUGACUGCCAGUGAAGUCUGUUCUUUAGUUGUGUACUGGAGAGGGAAGUUCUGGUAGCCUGGCUCAGCUAGCAGGCUUUCAAUUCGAGGACCAGUGCAGGCAGUCUGAUUCCUUGUGUUUGAACAUGAUCUAUGCAGGAUGUGGAUCGAAAAACAUUGAGAACAACAAGUGAAUCGUAAGGUACUGUAUCCUGUGAUGUGUACCUGCUGUGAACAUAGAUAAAAUACUGAAAGUAUUCCAGGAAAAGGAAAAUGCUGAAGUUUCAUGUUAAUGGUACUGAGAUAUGAAACAGUUCUGUACAUAAUAACCAAACAGGGUUUGGGAAGAUGACUUCCUCCAGGCAACAUUUCUCAUGACAUUUUCUGAUCCUGUGGUUAGGGGACUAUUUGCUACUACUGCCUGGACUGACAGUCCAGGAGAACAGAAUAUCCCAUUACUAGCAGCACGCAGAUUGUUUAAUCUUUUAAUUGUUUUGGGCUUUCUAAAUUAAGACUGGUGACUGCUGGUACAGGCAGAAACUGUAUUUCUUUAUUUCUUAACGUUUUAAAGAACUCAAGCCUCCUCUUUAAGUACCUACAGCUAAUCCAGUCUGAAUUGAGAACUCUUAUAAAAAUCUUUUCCCUGUGACUUCAUCUUCUACCACUAAAUUUUGGUCUUUUUUUUUUUCCCUCUGAUUAUCUCUUUCAGAUCCUUUUGUCUGUUGAGCUUUCUGCACAAGGGAGUCGGUUUCUUAGAAAAUAGAUAGCUAUGCAGAAGGGCAAUGAAAAAUGGAGUACUUGAACCUGCUGAUGGCCUAUGUGAGAAACACAUCAAAAGUUCCACUGUGAUCCCUAUGAAUAAAAGGUUGAAAAAAGGUUUUUCAGUGCAGUUGUGAUACUGGUGUUUAUCCUAGUGGUGCUUCCUGUUGCUCACACCUUGUCUUUGAGGAGUACCAAGGCUGGGUUUCUUUGCACCUACCUGUGCUUUCAUUCAGUCUGGGAGGCAGGAAGUACUUUUUCUCUUGGCAAUUCCUAGCAACCUUAUCCCAACUUCUCCAGACUUCUGGGUCUGCAGGAAAGUCCUGAUUAAGUGACUGUUCUUACAAGCUUGUCAACUCAGUUUCUCCUACACUGUCACUGCACAGUCAGGCUUAUUUUGGAGAGCAUGGCUUCCUUGGAGCACUGGGUGGAUGAUGGCACAAGAGCAAGGUGGCAAUGUGGUCCAUGUCCAGCUUCCUCUUUCACAGGUGUAUGCUCUCUUGCUCUAAAUCUCUUCUUGCUACUGCUCUGGUUGCAUUUUAGCCAAGUGAGGAAAAUAAAAAAGAUUUUCUUUCUCUUUUAAUGUUUUUGUCACCUCCUGCCUCUUUCGUAUGAGUCCACUGAUUGUUUUUUCAGAACCUCAGCUAAGGAAUUCCUUUGGGUCAUAUGCACGUGAUGCAGUUAAGUCCAAAUCUUUCAGUUAAGCAAAACUAUAGAAAGUGAGGUGAAAGAGUAGAAUUCUCUCCAGUUUCCUGUUCCUAUUACUGGAAAGUCCUUAUGGCUUGUUCCUUUUGAGGGUGUUCACAGGCUUUACAACCUAAAUCCACAAUGAAGCUUUUGUAAAGCCUGCCAAACAAAUUGAUCUGAACUGGCUUAUCUUAUGUCACCUGUGCUUUUCACUUGUGUUAAGAAACUGAACUUCCUCAUAUGCAACUUGAAUGUUGUAACAAUUUUAAUUUAGUCACAAAAACACACAAAUCAGUAUACCCAAGGCAGUUGUCCUCCGUCAGGAGUAUUUCUUGUUCAAGUCUCAUUUUUUUCUUUUUUCUACGGGAAACGUGAAUUUUUUGUUGUAACUCAGUGUCAUUUGACAGUAAGCAAAUUCAGUGUAAAAACACAUCCAUUGACUGAUAUGGUUGCAGUUAGUUCAGUGAUAAGUGCCAUUCAAGGGCAUUAGAUACUGUGUAUCCUGAGACAACUCCAUUUUGAUGAAUAAUGAUACAUUUGCAUUGUGCAUUCAAAGUUGUUUGUGAUAUUGUCAGCUACUUCAUUAAAAUGCUCAGCUAAGCACACGGGUGCAACAGGUAAGUCAGCUGCAAAGAUAUGCUUGCCUUGGAUGUGGAAUGCCAUAGAUCUUGGCCCUUUGCAAGGACUACUCAAGUAGAUAAACCAGCUUGUGCUGCAUUUGCCAGGUCUGAACACCUUUGAAAUAACAGGAAAAAAUAUGCUUGUUCUAGAAAAAUCUGGCUAACCACCAAAUGUAGCAAGACAUAGUCAAAUUUUAGGAAAUGUUUCUGCAGAGCUUUGCUUCAGCUGUCGUUUGACCAAUUUACUGCUGCUUGGAAAUUCUUUUCAAAGGAUAAUUCCUACAGCCUGUGUGGUGAAUUCUAAUGCAGAAGGAAAAAACUAUACCAUGUUGAGUGUCUAGUUGAGUACUUUUGCUGUAAUGAGAAGAUGCCUUGUUUCUGCUGCAUAUCUGAUACCUGCACAGCUAUUAAAGAGGUGCCUCUUGGCUCUUGAUUAUGCCUCAGGUAAAUGGUGACUGUGCCUGUGUAUUCAGAGACAGUCUGAGGUAGCAUGUCACUAUACUGCAAAGGAAGCCUUGAACCACCCAACUCCCAAUUUAAAAAACAGUAGAUAAUUAUUUUAUUUGUAUCCUAGGAUAUGUGAACCUGUGCCAGAAUUACCUUGAAGACAUUUACCACUUUAUGAGUUGAAAUAAGCGUUUCCCAAGGCAUAUAAAUUGGUAUAUAUGUCUUGCAGAAAAUAAAACCCAAAGUCAAGAAGGAAAUACUUCUGACUCCUCCUAUACAUACAUUUUUCCCCUCCUUUUUUUCCUGAACUUUGUUUCUAGUUUGAUAUGCUGCAGUCCCUUCUGACUGUUACUCUCAGUCUUACUGUAAACUUCUGCUGGUGCUAUUCUUGAACUGGGUAGCAAUAUCUGACUGUUUAGGUAACUAUCUGUCAAAUUAGAGGCAUGCUGUCAGGAGUGUGGUUAUUUUAUUUUUUUCCCCUAACAUUUGCUUGGUCCAUGAAGAAUCUCUUUAGAUGCAUUAGCAGUGGGUGGCUUCAUCAGUGAUACUGGUGAUGACCCAUAGCUUCCUCUUAAUUGAGAUUUCUCUGUUGAAAGGAUAAGAAACAGAUACUAUAUCUUUGGCUACUGGUUGUUGUCCUUUCGUUUUUUUAGCACUGAUAUCCUCUCUAAGGGCAUAAACAUUACUGUGGAGCAGGUUUGGUUUUGAAAGCUGAAAUUUCUGGCUAUACUGCCUGGAUUUCAUACAACUAAAUAAUUGUGGUUUUGAUGUCAGUGUAAUUCUUUCCAUGAUUACACAGUAUAGUCUGUCAAUGUAUUCCUGCCAAAAUUUGGUGUGCCAUUUGCCUCUGAAGUUAAAUACUAUUAAAAUACACAAGAUAAACAGCACAAAAGGGAUACAGAACUCUUCAAGCCUGCAUGCAAAAUACUGUACUCUUCUAUCUUUUAGGUGUCUCUUUGAGGUCUCUCUGCUCCAUGAGGAUGUUUAAAAUGAUACAGCUAAGAAGCUUUGUGGUGCUGAUUUGACUGUUGCUGGUCAAGCAUUAUUGUGCUGAAGCCCAAGCCUGGUCUGUGUGAGCAGACCUUUAAACCCUGUUUGCUAAAAAUUGGUUUUGUUCCCCUCAGUGUUUGCAAUGAUACUGGAAGCUGUUCCAGAAUCUCACUGGUCUUUGAAAUGCAGUGGGGAUUCUGAGGUUGUAGAUCUGCAGGCUCAGUAAAAUAUGUAAUUUUGUUUUUGAAGAAAAUCAAGUUGGAGAAUUCUUCUGAUAUGUGAAGGCAGGGAAGUUACAAAGACUAAGACUUAAACUUUGCUUUAUCCCCUUGCUAGUUCAUUUUAAGAAAACAGUCAUACUUGUAGCUGAUCAGAGACUGAAAAGUUCUAACUGUGUGAUUUUGCUUCGUGUGUUUAAUUUCUUGUGGUUACCUGAUAUACAUUUAAUGUUUCUAUGUUCCUAUUGCAGCACUUUAUAGUUGAAUAUAUAGUGUACCUGUUUAAGUCCUUUUUUUGCAUUUUAAAGGGAGAAGAUUUUUUACUCAUUUGAGAGAUUUUCAUUAUUCAAGAAUAAGAAUAUUAAGACUGACUGUGUCUCCAAAAUUACACUUGCUGUGUUUUCAUUGGUAUUAUCCUUGUGUUUUCACACUCUACUAGGUGUGCUGGAUCACUGUUUAGUCAUGUUAUAAAAGCCAUCUUAGUAGAAAUGCAUUAUUAUGCUGCAAUUUUUGAUUUGUGAAGUCUUGCUAGAAUUUCAAAUAAUUUCAUUGCCUGUAGCUUUACUUGUUUAAACAUUAGGAGAGAUCAGAUAUUUCUAGAUAUUG